Monodelphis domestica (gray short-tailed opossum) is the source of this 445-nucleotide long non-coding RNA. RefSeq lists it as uncharacterized. NCBI's taxonomy places the organism in Eukaryota, Metazoa, Chordata, Mammalia, Didelphimorphia, Didelphidae. The record is from RefSeq and is a predicted model, not a curated record.
UACAGAUAGGGAAAUUGGGGUUCAGAAUGUUUAUUCACCUUCUCCAUGACUACAUAACUGGCAAGAAGUCAAAACAGAAUUUGAACUGAGGUCUCUUGACGUCAAAUCUAGCUAUCCAAGCCCCCAGACAAGAUUUCUUUGGCACAGUCACCAGAAUUUUUAUCAAAUGAGAACCACAGCACAACAGAUACAUUUGCAACUCUGUCCUUUGAAAGAAUGAUGUCUCUUGUCUAGGUGGUCACCAAGAUGAUCUGCCUACGUCGAUGAAGGUCUGACUUCUGUGGAGUCCCGAUAAGAAAUGUGAAAGAGCUGAACAGAGGACAGUGCCGCGGUCUAAUACACGCCAAGAUCUGACUUGAUUUAUUAAAUAGACUAUUUCUUGGCUCACUACCACUACUAAACCUGGGGCAAUAAGCAUGGCUCAUAAAAUACAUACUAAUAUGAA